GGUUGUAGCUCAGUGGUAGAGCGCUGUCCUUAUACGCAUGAGGCCCUGGAUUCGAUCCUCAGCACCA
Molecule: transfer RNA, 67 nt
Filed under: Marmota monax (woodchuck)
Lineage: Eukaryota; Metazoa; Chordata; Mammalia; Rodentia; Sciuridae
Description: tRNA.Ile
Source: RNAcentral